This 672-nucleotide ribosomal RNA is filed under the name Listeria monocytogenes. Its description in RNAcentral is "bacterial SSU rRNA". It matches the Rfam family "Bacterial small subunit ribosomal RNA", at positions 860 to 1533 of the family's 1533-position model. Lineage: Bacteria; Bacillati; Bacillota; Bacilli; Caryophanales; Listeriaceae. The record is from RNAcentral.
UUAAGCACUCCGCCUGGGGAGUACGACCGCAAGGUUGAAACUCAAAGGAAUUGACGGGGGCCCGCACAAGCGGUGGAGCAUGUGGUUUAAUUCGAAGCAACGCGAAGAACCUUACCAGGUCUUGACAUCCUUUGACCACUCUGGAGACAGAGCUUUCCCUUCGGGGACAAAGUGACAGGUGGUGCAUGGUUGUCGUCAGCUCGUGUCGUGAGAUGUUGGGUUAAGUCCCGCAACGAGCGCAACCCUUGAUUUUAGUUGCCAGCAUUUAGUUGGGCACUCUAAAGUGACUGCCGGUGCAAGCCGGAGGAAGGUGGGGAUGACGUCAAAUCAUCAUGCCCCUUAUGACCUGGGCUACACACGUGCUACAAUGGAUAGUACAAAGGGUCGCGAAGCCGCGAGGUGGAGCUAAUCCCAUAAAACUAUUCUCAGUUCGGAUUGUAGGCUGCAACUCGCCUACAUGAAGCCGGAAUCGCUAGUAAUCGUGGAUCAGCAUGCCACGGUGAAUACGUUCCCGGGCCUUGUACACACCGCCCGUCACACCACGAGAGUUUGUAACACCCGAAGUCGGUAGGGUAACCUUUAUGGAGCCAGCCGCCGAAGGUGGGACAGAUAAUUGGGGUGAAGUCGUAACAAGGUAGCCGUAUCGGAAGGUGCGGCUGGAUCACCUCCUUU